UACGGGGGGAGCAAGCGUUGUUCGGAUUUACUGGGCGUAAAGGGCGCGUAGGCGGCCUGUGCAAGUCAGUUGUGAAAUCUCCGAGCUUAACUCGGAAUCUGUCUUUUGAAACUUUUAGACUAGAGGGGCAAAGAGGAAGCUGGAACGAGCGGUGUAGUAGUGAAAUGCGUUGAUAUCGCUCGGAACACCAAUAGCGUAGGCAAGCUUCUGGGUGCCUCCUGACACUGCUAGGACGAGAGCGUGGGUAGCGAAUGGG
Molecule: ribosomal RNA, 256 nt
Filed under: uncultured prokaryote
Description: partial 16S ribosomal RNA
Rfam family: Bacterial small subunit ribosomal RNA
Source: RNAcentral